UAGGGGGCAAGCGUUGUUCGGAAUGACUGGGCGUAAAGGGUGUGUAGGUGGUUUGAUAAGUUAGAUGUGUAAUACCCAGGGCUUAACCCGGGUGCUGCAUCUAAAACUGUUAGACUUGAGUACUGGAGAGGAUAGUGGAAUUCCUAGUGUAGCGUUGGAAUGCGUAGAUAUUAGGAGGAACAUCAGUGGCGAAGGCGACUAUCUGGACAGCAACUGACACUGAGGCACGAAAGCGUGGGGAGCAAA
This 246-nucleotide ribosomal RNA is filed under the name uncultured bacterium. Its description in RNAcentral is "partial 16S ribosomal RNA". It matches the Rfam family "Bacterial small subunit ribosomal RNA", at positions 528 to 772 of the family's 1533-position model. The record is from RNAcentral.